GGGACAGGGGUCCAUGAGGGAAAGGGGUCCAUGAGGGAGGGGGGGGGUCUGAGAUGGGGGUCCAUGAAGGACAGGGGUCCAUGAGGGAAGAAGUCCAUGGGGAAGGGGCUCUGAGGCGGCUCCAAGCGCUCGCUGGACAUACGCUAAUUAAGCGGUGCCGCUCCUCUGUGAGGCAGCUAAAGGACACAGGAGACCCUUCAGCCCGCAUCGGGGGGACAACACCCGUUUCGGCAGCACAGAAAAAUGCUGCAAAGGACAGAAACCGAGUCCUGGCAGCUGAAAUCAAGCAAAUCAGGGAGGCUCUUCGUGCCGCGCUGGGGCACCGAGCGGGAGCGAACGCUGCAUGGGGUUUCGAGCCGAGCGCCGCGCGGCCUUGCUUCGGGGUGGACGUCCUCCAAAUCCCAGCUCCAAGUGAUCGCAAUGAGGACGACCGACGGGAGCGGAGCGAGAGGAUGAGCACAGGAGCACCAGGAACAGGCGGAGAGAGAAAGCACARAGAGCUGGAAGGAAACUCACUUUUCAGGAGAAAACAGCUGAAAGGCGUACGCGUGACUCACUCGAGGAGGGCUGUUUGUUUUGGGACACGUCCCUCCAGCUGCUUCUCUUUCUCGGGCGUUUCUGUAYGCGCUGAUGUUUCUGUGUACUACAAAAUAAAGCGUCUGCAAAUACGAGGCGAUGCUAGUUGCUUUUUUGGUGCCAGCUAGUUUAAAAGUCUGUUUUACAGCCCAGUCUGACAGAAGCGCAUAAUCCCAGUCAGCCCGGCCAGCACAAACGUGAGAGGUCGCGUUUUGCAGCUAUUUGGGUAGUUGAGUUACUCGGGUCGUUCCUCCCCCCGGGUCAUUCCCCGAAAAGCCCCGACACUAGACUCCAGCUCAGCGCCCGUGUCGUUAAUUGAACGUUGCCGAGACCCGUGCUCAGAACGCCUUACGAGCCUCCCUCGGCGCCCCAAAAAUUAAUUCUCACUGCAGUGAGGGAGACUAUCGAUUUCUGCUGUCUCACAACAAAAACCGC
RNAcentral lists this long non-coding RNA (1011 nucleotides) under Dromaius novaehollandiae (emu). RNAcentral describes it as "lncRNA (ENSDNVG00000015371.1)". Lineage: Eukaryota; Metazoa; Chordata; Aves; Casuariiformes; Dromaiidae. The record is from RNAcentral.